RNAcentral lists this ribosomal RNA (603 nucleotides) under uncultured fungus. RNAcentral describes it as "eukaryotic LSU rRNA". It matches the Rfam family "Eukaryotic large subunit ribosomal RNA", at positions 23 to 641 of the family's 3401-position model. The record is from RNAcentral. Lineage: Eukaryota; Fungi.
ACCCGCUGAACUUAAGCAUAUCAAUAAGCGGAGGAAAAGAAACCAACAGGGAUUGCCCUAGUAACGGCGAGUGAAGCGGCAACAGCUCAAAUUUGAAAUCUGGCUCUUUUAGAGUCCGAGUUGUAAUUUGCAGAGGGCGCUUUGGCUUUGGCAGCGGUCCAAGUUCCUUGGAACAGGACGUCACAGAGGGUGAGAAUCCCGUACGCGGUCGCUGGCUAUUGCCGUGUAAAGCCCCUUCGACGAGUCGAGUUGUUUGGGAAUGCAGCUCUAAAUGGGAGGUACAUUUCUUCUAAAGCUAAAUAUUGGCCAGAGACCGAUAGCGCACAAGUAGAGUGAUCGAAAGAUGAAAAGCACUUUGGAAAGAGAGUCAAACAGCACGUGAAAUUGUUGAAAGGGAAGCGCUUGCAGCCAGACUUGCUUACAGUUGCUCAUCCGGGCUUUUGCCCGGUGCACUCUUCUGUAGGCAGGCCAGCAUCAGUUUGGGCGGUAGGAUAAAGGUCUCUGUCACGUACCUCUCUUCGGGGAGGCCUUAUAGGGGAGACGACAUACUACCAGCCUGGACUGAGGUCCGCGCAUCUGCUAGGAUGCUGGCGUAAUGGCUGU